Molecule: ribosomal RNA, 407 nt
Filed under: Verrucomicrobiota bacterium
Lineage: Bacteria; Pseudomonadati; Verrucomicrobiota
Description: Verrucomicrobia bacterium partial 16S ribosomal RNA
Rfam family: Bacterial small subunit ribosomal RNA
Source: RNAcentral
UGGGGAAUAUUGGACAAUGGAGGGAACUCUGAUCCAGCAAUUCUGUGUGUGUGAAGAAGGUUUUAGGACUGUAAAACACUUUUAGUAGGGAAGAAAAAAAUGACGGUACCUACAGAAGAAGCAACGGCUAAAUACGUGCCAGCAGCCGCGGUAAUACGUAUGUUGCGAGCGUUAUCCGGAAUUAUUGGGCUUAAAGGGCAUCUAGGCGGUAAGACAAGUUGAAGGUGAAAACCUGUGGCUCAACCAUAGGCUUGCCUACAAAACUGUUGAACUAGAGUACUGGAAAGGUGGGUGGAACUACACGAGUAGAGGUGAAAUUCGUAGAUAUGUGUAGGAAUGCCGAUGAUGAAGAUAACUCACUGGACAGAAACUGACGCUGAAGUGCGAAAGCUAAGGGAGCAAACAGG